GAGUCGGACAGCUGACCACGGAACGUGUUGUUAAAUCAACAAGAGGUACAAUAAUCUCUCGUUCUGAGGAAGGUCCGGGCAUCGUGAGUGGAGUCUAUCGAAAGGUAGAGUGUCGCGAGGCACAGCUCUGGAACAGAAACGGCACAGCUUUCCCCAAGAAAUGAACCUUGCGGUAAUCUUUGAAGGGAAAGAUUUGAUGAAACGGCCACCUCUCCUGAUGCAACUGCCAAAGCCGCAGGCUUAGACGGAUGUCAGCACGCUUCGUUUGUCUCGCCAAGCGAGAAACAAGAAUCGACAGAACCUGGCCUAUGUCCGACUC
RNAcentral lists this RNase P RNA (319 nucleotides) under Nanobdellota archaeon. Its description in RNAcentral is "RNase P RNA component". It matches the Rfam family "Archaeal RNase P". From Rfam's summary of the family: Ribonuclease P (RNase P) is a ubiquitous endoribonuclease, found in archaea, bacteria and eukarya as well as chloroplasts and mitochondria. Its best characterised activity is the generation of mature 5'-ends of tRNAs by cleaving the 5'-leader elements of precursor-tRNAs. Lineage: Archaea; Nanobdellati; Nanobdellota. The record is from RNAcentral.